Molecule: ribosomal RNA, 497 nt
Filed under: uncultured bacterium
Lineage: Bacteria
Description: partial 16S ribosomal RNA
Rfam family: Bacterial small subunit ribosomal RNA
Source: RNAcentral
GAUGAACGCUGGCGGCGUGCCUAAUACAUGCAAGUCGAGCGAACAGACGAGGAGCUUGCUCCUCUGACGUUAGCGGCGGACGGGUGAGUAACACGUGGAUAACCUACCUAUAAGACUGGGAUAACUUCGGGAAACCGGAGCUAAUACCGGAUAAUAUAUUGAACCGCAUGGUUCAAUAGUAAAAGACGGUUUUGCUGUCACUUAUAGAUGGAUCCGCGCCGCAUUAGCUAGUUGGUAAGGUAACGGCUUACCAAGGCAACGAUGCGUAGCCGACCUGAGAGGGUGAUCGGCCACACUGGAACUAAGACACGGUCCAGACUCCUACGGGAGGCAGCAGUAGGGAAUCUUCCGCAAUGGGCGAAAGCCUGACGGAGCAACGCCGCGUGAGUGAUGAAGGUCUUCGGAUCGUAAAACUCUGUUAUUAGGGAAGAACAAAUGUGUAAGUAACUAUGCACGUCUUGACGGUACCUAAUCAGAAAGCCACGGCUAACUACGUG